Molecule: ribosomal RNA, 318 nt
Filed under: uncultured bacterium
Lineage: Bacteria
Description: bacterial SSU rRNA
Rfam family: Bacterial small subunit ribosomal RNA
Source: RNAcentral
GACGAACGCUGGCGGCGUGCCUAAUACAUGCAAGUAGAACGCUGAAGACUUUAGCUUGCUAAAGUUGGAAGAGUUGCGAACGGGUGAGUAACGCGUAGGUAACCUGCCUACUAGCGGGGGAUAACUAUUGGAAACGAUAGCUAAGACCGCAUAGGUACGGACACUGCAUGGUGACCGUAUUAAAAGUGCCUCAAAGCACUGGUAGAGGAUGGACUUAUGGCGCAUUAGCUGGUUGGCGGGGUAACGGCCCACCAAGGCGACGAUGCGUAGCCGACCUGAGAGGGUGACCGGCCACACUGGGACUGAGACACGGCCCAG